Molecule: ribosomal RNA, 468 nt
Filed under: uncultured bacterium
Lineage: Bacteria
Description: partial 16S ribosomal RNA
Rfam family: Bacterial small subunit ribosomal RNA
Source: RNAcentral
GACGAACGCUGGCGGCGUGCUUAACACAUGCAAGUCGAACGGAAAGGCCCUGCUUUUGUGGGGUGCUCGAGUGGCGAACGGGUGAGUAACACGUGAGUUACCUGCCCUUGACUUUGGGAUAACUUCAGGAAACUGGGGCUAAUAUCGGAUAGGAGCUCCUGCUGCAUGGUGGGGGUUGGAAAGUUUCGGCGGUUGGGGAUGGACUCGCGGCUUAUCAGCUUGUUGGUGGGGUAGUGGCUUACCAAGGCUUUGACGGGUAGCCGGCCUGAGAGGGUGACCGGCCACAUUGGGACUGAGAUACGGCCCAGACUCCUACGGGAGGCAGCAGUGGGGAAUAUUGCACAAUGGGCGGAAGCCUGAUGCAGCAACGCCGCGUGCGGGAUGACGGCCUUCGGGUUGUAAACCGCUUUCGCCUGUGACGAAGCGUGAGUGACGGUAAUGGGUAAAGAAGCACCGGCUAACUACGUG